RNAcentral lists this ribosomal RNA (402 nucleotides) under uncultured bacterium. RNAcentral describes it as "bacterial SSU rRNA". It matches the Rfam family "Bacterial small subunit ribosomal RNA", at positions 359 to 776 of the family's 1533-position model. The record is from RNAcentral.
GAAUCUUGGACAAUGGGGGCAACCCUGAUCCAGCGACGCCGCGUGGGUGAUGAAGGCCUUCGGGUUGUAAAGCCCUUUCACCGGGGCCGAUGAUGACGGUACCCGGCGAAGAAGCACCGGCUAACUCCGUGCCAGCAGACGCGGUAAGACGGAGGGUGCUAGCGUUGGUCGGAAUCACUGGGCGUAAAGGGCGCGUAGGCGGCGGGUCAAGUCGGCUUUGUGAAAGCCCGGGGCUCAACCCCGGAGGUGCGGCCGAGACUGAUCCGCUGGAGGCCGGAAGAGGAGGGUGGAAUACCCAGUGUAGAGGUGAAAUUCGUAGAUAUUGGGUGGAACACCGGUGGCGAAAGCGGCUCUCUGGUCCGGACCUGACGCUGAGGCGCGAAAGCGUGGGGAGCAAACAGG